GUAGUCAUGGCAAAGUGGUUAAGGAAAUGAGCUAGAAAUCCACUGGGGUCUCCCUGAGCAGGUUCAAAUCCUGCCGACUAUG
This is a non-coding RNA of Ovis aries (sheep), 82 nucleotides long. Lineage: Eukaryota; Metazoa; Chordata; Mammalia; Artiodactyla; Bovidae. The record is from Rfam.